This 419-nucleotide ribosomal RNA is filed under the name uncultured Thiobacillus sp. RNAcentral's name for it is "bacterial SSU rRNA". It matches the Rfam family "Bacterial small subunit ribosomal RNA", at positions 956 to 1382 of the family's 1533-position model. The record is from RNAcentral. Lineage: Bacteria; Pseudomonadati; Pseudomonadota; Betaproteobacteria; Nitrosomonadales; Thiobacillaceae.
GCAACGCGAGAACUUACUACCCUUGACAUGUCCGGAACUUGCCAGAGAUGGCUUGGUGCCCGAAAGGGAAUCGGAACACAGGUGCUGCAUGGCUGUCGUCAGCUCGUGUCGUGAGAUGUUGGGUUAAGUCCCGCAACGAGCGCAACCCUUAUCAUUAGUUGCUACGCAAGGGCACUCUAAUGAGACUGCCGGUGACAAACCGGAGGAAGGUGGGGAUGACGUCAAGUCCUCAUGGCCCUUAUGGGUAGGGCUUCACACGUCAUACAAUGGUCGGUACGGAGGGUUGCCAAGCCGCGAGGCGGAGCCAAUCCCACAAAGCCGAUCGUAGUCCGGAUUGUUCUCUGCAACUCGAGAGCAUGAAGUCGGAAUCGCUAGUAAUCGCAGGUCAGCAUACUGCGGUGAAUACGUUCCCGGGUCUU